GAGGCGGUGCCGUUUGGAUCGGGGCGGCGACAAUGCCCGGGAAUGGCACUGGCGCUCACCACUGUCCAUCUCACGCUCGCCAACCUCCUCCAUGGAUUCGAGUGGAGAGAGCCCAGCGGUGAGAGCAUCGACACGAGCAAGGAGCAGUAUGGAUUGACGCUGCUCUUGGCAAAGAAGCUGCGACUGAUCGCCACCCCACGGCUAGAACAAGGUACCUUAUAGCUCCGAUCCAAAGAAAGCUUGGAAGAAUAGCUUCCUUGAUAAACCAUGAAUAAGAAAGAAACCACGAACUUUGCACUAUCUCUCCAAACGGACACUGCCGGCCUCAUCAGGAGCCUCCUUGCGAAUGAGAUUUUUGCAUGGCAUGGACAUUUUUAUAACAAAUAUAAAGAUAAUUUGUAAGUAUUAAAUAUUCUGAAGAAAUUGUUGAAGACUUGGAAAAGAAUAGACUAAGAGUAGAUUGUUGGAUCUAAUUUGAUUUCCAAGUGUGAUUGAAGCUCUUGUUAAUGUUCAGCUUAUCAGCAGCUUGACAACAUCUACGUUAUUGCUUGCAACGUGCAUAGCUAAUAAAGGGGUUGGCAAAAUCUGCAUCCUUGUUCUUCCUUGCAGCCCGCAUAGAUUGGAGCAAGGGAUUGGACAAGUUGCACUCCGAUGACAAGAAGUCCAAAAGCUUAUCUUCAUCUUCGCUUAGAAGCGUUGUGGUGCUCUCCAACAACAGCUUCCAGCAGUGUCCACAUUCCUGAGCUCCACCCUGUGAAGCAGUAAAGCACAAGCCCCAAUAAAUUUGAUCCGUGCACCACAUUCUUGCACCAAGCUUCCCCCGACCAUAUGCUUGAGAAACAUCUCCAAGAAGCAGACAAGGCAGUCUGGCGGUACCUGGCCCCGUGCACACGCGUCGUGCAGCUCCUUGAAUCUAUCAGCAUCACUAGCCAAUUCAAAGGCAAUGUUUUUGAAGCCCCGCAGCGAGACAGUCAUAAACCAGGUGCCAAACUCUAAAACUGAUCUCCACUUGCUCUCAGAUACCAAGCUUCUCCAAUACUGGCACAUCCUCAUCUCUGCUUGUGUUGUGGCUUGCAACUGGCCGUAGUCUGAAAUGCUGGUGUACAGAUAACUCAGCUUCUUUUUACAUUCAGGUGUGCAUUGCCAUGCCUCCAACGCCAUCGUAAACUCUAUCAUCUCAGCUUGGGGGAAGAAAGCCUUGGGAGGGCGUAGCUCUGAGAGAGGCUUCACUUCCAUAUCUUGCCUGUUCAGCCGCCGCUCCAGCACGCUUCCCUUCUGCAAUCUAUUUCCUACCACCUUUCUAAUCUCAUGCUUGGAUAUCCCCUCCCAGGAACCAUACGCCAACACAUCCAGCGACUGUUGGAUUUGGAUGGAAUCCCCCUUGUUCUUCUUCAGUGCCUCCAAAGCUAUCGCAGCCAUCAUCAGAUCUGUGGAGCAUGUUCUAUUUUUAUAGCUUGGAUCGUUAAAAGGUACUUUGUUCCAGGCGAGGGGUGGAGAUCAAUCGCAGCUUGUUUGCCAUGAGCAACGUCAAUCCAUAUUGCUCGUUGCAUUCUCACCGCUGGGCUCUCUCCACUCGAAUCCAUGGAGGAGGUUGGCGAGCGUGAGAUGGACAGUGGUGAGUGCCAGUGCCAUUCCCGGGCAUUGUCGCCGCCCCGAUCCAAACGGCACUGCCUCGAAGUCCCUGCCCCGGAUGUCCAGAUCCGUGCCAAGGAAUCUCUCGGGCCGGAAGAGCAGCGCAUCGUCACCCCAGGCGGAAGAGUCUCUGGCGAUGGCAUAGGCGUUGAUGAGCACCGUCGAAGAAGAGGGGCAACAAAGGCGCCAGUCCCGGAAUCCAGCUCGGAUCAGGCGCAAGGUGUGGCGAUGGCGGGAGAGGAGGAGGAGGAGGCGGUGAGCAAGGUAGUGGAAUGGCCAGAGGAUGGAGGAUUGACGCGAGACCCUGGCGGAGGCGGCCUCCAUGCUGAGGACGCAAGCACUGCGCCAGGUAGUGCCAGUCGCGGUCGCCGAUUCACUCAUUGCCAGGGCUUCCAAGAUCAUGCAGAGACAGUCACAAACCAGGUGCCAAACUCUAAAACUGAUCUCCACUUGUUCUCAGAUACCAAGCUUCUCCAAUACUGGCACAUCCUCAUCUCUGCUUGUGUUGUGGCUUGCAACUGGCUGUAGUCUGAAAUGCUGGUGUAGAGAUAACUCAGCUUCUUUUUACACUCAGGUGUGCAUUGCCAUGCCUCCAACGCCGUCGUAAACUCUAUCAUCUCAGCUUGGGGGAAGAAAGCCUUGGGAGGGCGUAGCUCUGGGAGAGGUUUCACUUCCAUAUCUUGCCUGUUCAGCCGCCGCUCCAGCACGCUUCCCUUUUGCAAUCUAUUUCCUACCAACUUUCUAAUCUCAUGCUUGGAUAUCCCCUCCCAGGAACCAUACGCCAACACAUCCAGCGACUGUUGGAUUUGGAUGGAAUCCCCCUUGUUCUUCUUCAGUUCCUCCAAAGCUUUCGCAGCCAUCAUCAGAUCUGUGGAGCAUGUUCUAUUUUUAUAGCUUGGAUCGUUAAAAGGUACUUUGUUCCAGGCGAGGGGUGGAGAUCAAUCGCAGCUUGUUUGCCAUGAGCAACGUCAAUCCAUAUUGCUCGUUGCUCGUGUCGAUACUCUCACCGCUGGGCUCUCUCCACUCGAAUCCAUGGAGGAGGUUGGCGAGCGUGAGAUGGACAGUGGUGAGUGCCAGUGCCAUUCCCGGGCAUUGUCGCCGCCCCGAUCCAAACGGCACUGCCUCGAAGUCCCUGCCCCGGAUGUCCAGAUCCGUGCCAAGGAAUCUCUCGGGCCGGAAGAGCAGCGCAUCGUCACCCCAGGCGGAAGAGUCUCUGGCGAUGGCAUAGGCGUUGAUGAGCACCGUCGAAGAAGAGGGACAACAAAGGCGCCAGUCCCGGAAUCCAGCUCGGAUCAGGCGCAAGGAGUGGCGAUGGCGGCAGAGGAGGAGGUGGUGAGCAAGGUAGUGGAAUGGCCAGAGGAUGGAGGAUUGACGCGAGAAUGGGUAAUCGGCGUGGGCGAGACCCUGGCGGAGGCGGCCUCCAUGCUGAGGACGCAAGCACUGCGCCAGGUAGUGCCAGUCGCGGUCGCCGAUUCGCUCAUCGCCAGGGCUUCCAAGAUCAUGCACAAGGAGCCCAAUUGCUUGCGCCUGGAGCCGCCACGGUCGAGCUCCAGUAGCAUCGUCCUGGUGGGCGAUUUGCACGGCCAGCUCCAUGAUUUGCUCCAUCUCUUUGAUCUGGCCGGCCUCCCCGACGAGGAACGAAUGUUUGUGUUUAACGGGGACUAUGUGGAUCGAGGAGUGUGGGGAUUCGAGACUUACUUUCUCCUCCUUGCUUGGAAGGUAUGAUCUCAGAAUCACGUUUUCUUUUUUACUUCUUUCUGGUGGUAGUGAAAGGUGGUAUUGUUCUUACUUUUUUUCUUCAGGUAUUGCUACCUCACCGAGUUUUUCUUCUGCGAGGAAACCACGAGACAAAGUUCUGUACGAGCGUCUACGGCUUCGAGAAAGAGAUCUCCGUCAAGUUUGGGGAGCAUUCCAAGCAUUUCUACCGCAAGCUCUUGGGAUGCUUCGAGGGCCAUCCUCUGGUGGCGGUGAUAGCCGGCAAAGUUUUCAUGGCACACGGUGCCUUGUUCCGGAGCUUGGAACCGGGGCCUUCUACGCGAUCUUUCUUGGUGAGAGCUGCUGCUAAGCUCAAGCUGGGUGAUCUGGACGACCUUGCAAAGUCGAGAAGAGGCGUGCUGGAUCCGUCGGCCGUGGGAAACAACGUGAUACCGGGUGAUAUCUUGUGGUCCGACCCAUCUCCAAACCCGGGGCUUGCGAGCAACGAAGGGCUUGUUUUUGGACCGGAUUGUACUCAAGAGUUUAUGGACAAGCACAAGCUAAAGGUAAGGUGGUGUUUUGCGUCGUUUGCUCACGAUCAUUGGGAUUGUUCGGCAGUGCAGCUUAUAGUGAGAUCUCACGAGGGGCCGGAUGCGAGACAGAAGCGUCCUGAGAUGGCGAGCAUGGACAAAGGCUACACGAUCGACCACGUUGUCAAGGCUGGAAAGCUCAUCACUCUGUUCAGUGCUCCCGACUAUCCUCAGUUUCAGGUUGGCCUUCUUCAUUUCGUGUUUUCUUUCUUCGUAAAUGCAACAAAGUUUCGAUUGUCAACAAUGGCAGGCGACCGAAACUCGUUUUAACAACAAAGCAGCCUACAUUGUUUUGGAACCACCGGAUUUUUGCGAGCCCGACAUUUGUGUUUUUGAGGCGGUCCUCCCGCAGCCACAUGUAAGCAAUUUCAUUUUGAUACUUCCAUCCACCGCUUUGGUUGCUUUUCCGCAGGUUAUGCCAUAUUACGAUCAUGUUAAUGUUAUGGAUUCAGACGACGAGCUAGAUCUGCCAAAAGACGGAUAAAAAAAAUCUAGAAAAAUGCCACGACUGCCACCUUUGAGGUCCUCGUGGGCGUUGGUCGUAGGAGUCAAGAUCAUUCGUGACAAUAUAUUUCGGAGUGAGAGCUGCAAGAGAGCUGCGACAAGGAGAAAAUGGCGAGUGAUUUUGUUUUGGUUGUGGCGGCAGCACUAUCGAUCACUGCUGUGCUAUGGAAGCUAUGGAAGAGUAGAAUUAAAUCGUCUCUUCUUCCUCCAGGUCCCAUUGGGCUUCCACUGAUCGGCCAUCUCCACUUGCUCUUUGCAAAUCCUCCGCACACCGUGCUCCAGAGGCUGUCGGCUCGUCAUGGACCGAUCAUGUCGCUGCGAUUCGGGCAUGUGCCAGUGGUUGUCGCCUCCAGCCCAGCAGCCGCCAAGGAGUUCCUCAAGACCCACGACGCCGCCUUUGCGUCUCGCCCGCUGAGCGCCGCCGGGAGGAUCAUCGUCCACUACAACGCCGACAUCGUUUUCGCCCCUUAUGGCGACUCGUGGCGGCACUUGCGCAAGAUCGCGACGCUGGAACUCCUCACAGCUCGCCGGAUUGACAUGUUUCGGAGUGCGAGAAUGGAAGAAGUAAGAUCCAUGUGCCGAUCGCUACUAGUAGCAGAUGAUCGUGAGACGGGGAUUGUGGAUGUUCGUGGGCGAGUGACAGCGCUCACCUUCAAUCUCAUCACUUUCAUGCUCAUGGGCAAGAUCUCAUCACUUUCAUGCUCAUGGGCAAGCGUUAGUUUGGCAAGGACACUGAAAAUGAGGAGGGGGCGAAAAAUUUUUUGGAAGUGAUUGCGGGCACGUUUGAAGUAUGUGGAGAGUUUCCAAUCGAGGAUUACUUCCCGUGGCUCCCCAAGUUUUUGGAUCCGGCAGAACAUCGUAUGCAUUCCCUAGCUAAAUCCUUGCACGAGUUCCUCGGGGACAACAUCUCCGAGCACGAGAACAAGAGAAAGAACAACAAGAAGAAUAACACUGACGAGGAUUUCUUAGACAUCCUCCUCUCUCUGAGAGACAAUGGUGACAAGCAUCUACAAAACGAAAACAUCAGAAGUGUCAUGACAGUAAGAAGAAGAGUUUAUCAAUUCGAUCAAUCAGUCUCAUCACUUGCAAUCUUUUUCUUGGCAGAACUUGGUCACGGCCGGAACCGACACCUCAGCAGUGACGCUCGAGUGGGCGAUGGCCGAGUCAAUCAAAAACCCCACCAUCGCCGCCAAAGCCCGAGAAGAAAUCGAGCUAGUUCUCGGUGAGAAGUGGAGGACGAAGAUGGUGGAAGAGCCUGAUCUUUCACAGCUAACUUAUCUCCAAGCCAUCGUCAAGGAGACACUCCGGCUGCAUCCUGCGGGACCGCUGCUGGUCCCCCACCAAUCCACCGAGGCGGUUAGCAAUGUAAUGGGGUACCAUGUACCACGCGGCACGACGGUGCUCAUCAAUGCCUACGCCAUCGCCAGAGACUCUACCGCCUGGGGUGACGACGCGCUGCUCUUCCGGCCCGAGAGAUUCCUUGGCACGGAUCUGGACAUCCGGGGCAGGGACUUCGAGGCUGUCCCGUUUGGAUCGGGGCGGCGACAAUGCCCGGGAAUGGCACUGGCGCUCACCACUGUCCAUCUCACGCUUGCCAACCUCCUCCAUGGAUUCGAGUGGAGAGAGCCCAGCGGUGAGAGCAUCGACACGAGCAAGGAGCAGUAUGGAUUGACGCUGCUCUUGGCAAAGAAGCUGCGACUGAUCGCCACCCCACGGC
RNAcentral lists this long non-coding RNA (6138 nucleotides) under Selaginella moellendorffii. RNAcentral's name for it is "long non-coding RNA (SMOE_LNC001928)". The record is from RNAcentral. Lineage: Eukaryota; Viridiplantae; Streptophyta; Lycopodiopsida; Selaginellales; Selaginellaceae.